This is a non-coding RNA of Danio rerio (zebrafish), 1164 nucleotides long. The record is from RefSeq and is a predicted model, not a curated record. Lineage: Eukaryota; Metazoa; Chordata; Actinopteri; Cypriniformes; Danionidae.
GCGACGCGACCAUGACAGAAAUACUAAAGCUGCAUGUCAAUCAAUGACUGGGGAACUGAUCCCACUGUCAAGCAAUAAGCCAUCAGCUAUUUUUCACCGUUUUAUAUAUAUAUACACACACUCAUGGCCAUCAAGGCGCAGUUUCUGCACAGACUAUAGUGCUCAGCUCUUAUUGGUAUUUAAUAGACAUCCUCCGAUGAGCACGCUGAAAUGCAAGAGAAGGUCUUGGAUGAAGAGGACGGAGUGACAACACUGCUCUCACAACAGGACGUACCGUGCCGAACGGAGCCGCGGCCGCCGCUGUCCCCACUGGAGCAGAGAGGACCGGGCUUUGAUGUUCCACUCAAAAUUAUUAAUUCCCCGCAUCAGUCUGACAGCGGUGCUGAGAGCUAAAGGAAAUGAUUUACUUAUGACUGAUCAAACGCUCCUCGCAGAAGAGCGCGACUCAGUCUCCGUCAGACACGACAAGAGAGAAAGCAAUAAAUCACAUGACUCAUGACUUCUGGAGGAUCCGUCAUCCACAGGAAGGCAUCUUCACGUAUGUGUGUGUGUGUGUGUGUGUGUGUGUGUGUGUGUGUCUCAGUGCAAUAAAUCUCUUUGAGUGCUCGUAGCGGAAAGGUAAAGUCUCAGAGCCGGAGAAGCUCCAGGCAUUUGUUGCUGUGGAACAAUGUGUAACCAUGGCCGGGGCACCAAAGGAGGCUCACACACCUGUAGCAGGUGAUUACAGGUAGAUCUGCUUCCUCUAAUUGGACAAUAAACACCACUCUCGGCCGGCUAAUGGCACCAGUCUGACUCUCAGACGCCACGCUCCCAUUUGGCCGUCGCCAGAAGUCCACGAGUCCCCUCCGAACGGCCAUCUUGAUGACAUGUCUGAUUUAUGUGCUGUAUAUAUAAGAAUUUGUAACCCGAGACCACAAAACCAUUCACAAAUGUCAAUACUUUUAUUAAAUAAAUAAGCUUUCCAUUGAUGUAUGGUUUAUUAGAGUAAGAUACACAAUUUCUAGUUCUAGUCAUGUCCAUUUUCUGAACUGUAUUGAAUAAACUGUGAUAACCUGAAAAAUUUUGAAGGUGACUGAAUUAUUUUUACUUUGACUGUAUGUAUAAAAUAAUCCCUCUUUAUAUUAAGUGGCCUUAACUAAUAUGUACUUACAUAGGAAUAAAUAG